GGCACUGAUGCAGGAAAGGAGAGGUUACCGGGAAACAAAAAGGCUGCCCCACGCAUCAGAACGAGAAGAGUGGUAUUUAACUCUACAAGGGUAGAGCUUCCGUCUCCCACAGCGACAAUCACUUUGGAGCCUGUGGCCUCCUGGAAGCUGGUCUGGAUGGGUGGACCUGACGGGCCACGAUCCUCUAAGGGACACCCACCGCUAUCUGGGGAGGCAGCCAAGGCAGCUGACUGAGCGCCCACUGUGUGCUGGGGCACAAUGCCACCCAUUUCACAGAUCAAAAAGAAAAGGCUCACAAGACCAGACCUGCCAAGGACAACUGCCAGGCCCCCCUGAGAACAACCACACCUGGAUAUCCACCUGGAUAUGAAAGUGUCGGUUCCUGGAUUCCACAAAUAUUGCCAGCCCCUCCUAUUUCUCAAUAAAGGUCACAGUGGAAAAUCCCCAGCUCUUCCCGCCAAAAGUCCCCAGCCACUUCAAAUAAUAUAAAAAGUCUUCACCCCCUUCAAACAGGCAUGACGUCUCGGGCCCCAUUUUCCUGGGACCCGUGAACCUCGCCUGGGAGCACUCAAUAAAGUCCCAUAGUAUGGCCACUCUCUCUCUGUCUGUCUGCUUCUUUUGCCGCUGAAACCCUUACUCCCAGGCCUGCCCCAGACGUCCCGGCUGCAGGCCUCCCCGUGUCCCCUCUGCCGCACCCCCAGUCUCCUCUGCAGAGCCCAGUGGCGCCUGCCCUUCAGGCCCAAGGCCAUCUCCUCCAGCUGGAAGGCUGCUGCCCCCUCACAGCAGGCACCAGCACUCCCUGCCAUCCACAGGUCUGUUUUCACCAGGAUGUGAACUCCUGGAGAGCAGGGUGGGGGUCUCCCUGCUCCCAGCGCCCCCACAGCUCCCAGGGUUGCGGCCGACACAAAGCCUCCCUGGGCC
Microcebus murinus (gray mouse lemur) is the source of this 921-nucleotide non-coding RNA. NCBI's taxonomy places the organism in Eukaryota, Metazoa, Chordata, Mammalia, Primates, Cheirogaleidae. The record is from RefSeq and is a predicted model, not a curated record.